Molecule: unclassified non-coding RNA, 470 nt
Filed under: Hevea brasiliensis (rubber tree)
Lineage: Eukaryota; Viridiplantae; Streptophyta; Magnoliopsida; Malpighiales; Euphorbiaceae
Source: RNAcentral
AAAAUGACUUUUUUUUUUCUUUUGUUGUUUGUUUAACAUUGAAAAUUAUUUUCUAGAGUCUUGAUAAACAAAUUACUUUCAAUAUGUAAAAUUAGGAAAAAGUUUGUACAUACAGAAAUUUAUAUUUUUUCUAUUUUAUUUGAGUAGGACUAAAAAAUUAACAUGAGAUAGGGGUGAACUGUGGUUGUCUCUUGCAGCCAUUGAUGGUUACUGGGUACUGGUAAUGUGUUUAUUUGGUUCUGUUAAACACCUGCUUUUUAUGAGAUUGUGAAAAUCUGGGAUAUGGCUUCUUAAAAUAUAAGUAAAAAUUAUUUUUCCCAUUUACUCAUCAAAUCACUAAUCAAUUCUCUGAAGUGCCUCAAACAGUAGAGUUGUGGAAAAUAUUUUUAAUGAAACUGAAAAGCCUCCAAUCCGAGGAAAUUGAUGCUGCAUUUACAAUGUGUAAAAUUUCUGGUGUGCUUUCAUUGUUG